This 254-nucleotide ribosomal RNA is filed under the name uncultured bacterium. RNAcentral's name for it is "partial 16S ribosomal RNA". It matches the Rfam family "Bacterial small subunit ribosomal RNA", at positions 82 to 334 of the family's 1533-position model. The record is from RNAcentral.
CGUGGGUGGAUGAGUGGCGAACGGGUGAGUAACACGUGAGUAACCUGCCCCCUUCUUUGGGAUAACGCCCGGAAACGGGUGCUAAUACUGGAUAUUCACUGGCCUUCGCAUGGGGGUUGGUGGAAAGGUUUUUUCUGGUGGGGGAUGGGCUCGCGGCCUAUCAGCUUGUUGGUGGGGUGAUGGCCUACCAAGGCUUUGACGGGUAGCCGGCCUGAGAGGGUGACCGGUCACAUUGGGACUGAGAUACGGCCCAG